UUCCAGAGAGUGGAGUCUGUGGUUUAACCACAGAGUAAGUGCUGUUACCCAGCUUGUAAUGCAAGCUUCCCCACACUGCCCUCCACCCAUAACCCUCAUGCCUUAUGCUACAGUGACUUUUUUUAGUGAUGAGAGGGUAGUUCAGGCUCCAGUCUCAUUCAAUCCUUGGUCUCU
RNAcentral lists this small RNA (174 nucleotides) under Chrysemys picta bellii (western painted turtle). RNAcentral describes it as "TUC338 (ENSCPBG00000012533.1)". Lineage: Eukaryota; Metazoa; Chordata; Testudines; Emydidae. The record is from RNAcentral.